GAAAAUUGUAACUGUAAUAAUAGAUAAUCAUAGGGAAGAAGAGCAAUUGAGCAAAACAAGAUCUGGGGAUGGACCAAAAUAUAAAAUUACAGAGAAGACUACAACUCAAGUUACACAAAUCCUAUAUAUCUCAAUAAUCCUUGCAGUUAGUUUAAACACAAGCUAUAAUGAAAAUUCAUGCAUCAUGCUUUCCAUAUAAAUAUAUAUAUGGGCCAAUUGAUCUUAAGAAAUUCAAGGUAUAUGAACAGGCAGUAGGACUAAUCCCCUUUUUGGUGUUGAAGGCUAGUUUGAAUUCAAGAAUUCUCUUCCAUUCAUGGCCAGCUUUCAAUGUGUGACUUCUAUGAGGUGGAUCACUUGCCAGUGAUAUGGCCACGUUAUUAAAAUUCGAGGGUGCCAGUUUUGGAGGACCCAGAACAACUACCAGAUGUUCCAUACGACGCCCCACUUGAACCAUCAAUAGGAGCUUGAUUUAGACAUUCUAAAACCAAAAACCUUCGCUUUUGCAAUUUUAUUGAGAAUGUUGUUGCCUCAAGAAUCAAAGGAACCUGAGUAUUGGUUCGCGCUACUUUGUGUACAUUAAGGAAGCCGACCAUGUCUUGGUAACCAGUAAGGAGUUUUGCCAAUUCCUUAUCAUCAUCUGGGAUUGCUCUCACGGAAAGUAAAAUGUCUGCCAUGUGCUGCCAUCUUUUACAGAAGGAUUCUGAAAGAAGAGAAGGUGGAAAGGUAACAACAGCAACUGCAUUUGCAGACCACAGCAUGCUUUUCAGAUAACUAAUAAAGGAAAGCACAUCCCAUUCCAUGUUGGAAUGUGUACACUGUGGAGCACAUAAUGACUGAAUUGCAAUACGACCAACCGAAGAAAUACUGCCAUCAUUUCUACGAAAUUGAGCUAAAAAUGUGGUGCAACGGUCCUGCAAAGCAACAAGAUUUGGAGAAUCUUUGACACUAACACAAUCCACACGUUGUCCACUAAAAAAAUGCCUCUCCAAUGGCUUCCGCAAGUCAAAGUCAUUACAGAACUCUUGCUUACUACCUCUGUGUCCAUCAAAACUCUGCUGAUUUUCGCCAAAAUACUUCUUAUACUGCCAAGCUAUUCUUAAUCCCUUCUCCUGUUCUGGAUCAUGAUUUCGCAAUUUGUCAUCUUUUGAUGAGGGGCAAGGCAAUGUACCCAAAAAUCCUCUCGGGUCUUUGGAUGGACUAGCAUAAAGAAGGGGUUGGUUCUGAACAAGUCCUUGAGACAUAAAAUUCCUCAACAGAAGCAUGUGAUGAGGUGCUUCUGCAUCCUCCAUCACCAUAACUAGACUUCCCAAAGGAAUCCCACCACCAAGUAUCUUGUCAAGAUCAGAUAUCCCAGAAGAAACAAAGAAUGUGCCAUUGGGUCCACAUUUGAUUCCGGGGGUCUGAGAAGAAGAUGCACUCAAUACGUUGCGAGUGAAGCUACUGGUCCGGCUCUUAGUCGCAGACAUUAGUGAAUCAACAAGUGAAACUCUCUCUCUCUCACUAGGUUUCACAAUACCAGUAACUCUGAAAGUGCAAUUCCCAGUUGGUAACAAAAUCAAUAUGAAAUCGAUUACAAUUCUCAAGUAUAUCCAAGAGAAAAUUUCAAUAAAGAAAGUAGCACCAGUUCACAUUCGCUUUUCAUCGAAUAGCUGGUAUGCAAUAGAUAUAAGCCUAUCUGUUAAAACAAAACUAGAUAUUAACAGCACAAUAAAUAAAAAUUCUGAUUUUUUUUCUCUUGUUUUCGCUCGCUUUCUCAGUAGCCAAACGGAUGCCUAUAGUUUAAAAGGUCUCACCUAGUCCCCUUCUAGCGCCAAAGGGAUUGCUCCGCGACAGAGGUUUCUCUUCGCUUUCUUCAAAUUCUGCUGAAGGGUCUUUCAGCGAAAAC
RNAcentral lists this unclassified non-coding RNA (1885 nucleotides) under Hevea brasiliensis (rubber tree). Lineage: Eukaryota; Viridiplantae; Streptophyta; Magnoliopsida; Malpighiales; Euphorbiaceae. The record is from RNAcentral.